RNAcentral lists this ribosomal RNA (324 nucleotides) under uncultured bacterium. RNAcentral's name for it is "bacterial SSU rRNA". It matches the Rfam family "Bacterial small subunit ribosomal RNA", at positions 30 to 348 of the family's 1533-position model. The record is from RNAcentral.
AUUGAACGCUGGCGGCAUGCCUUACACAUGCAAGUCGAACGGCAGCACGGGAGCUUGCUCCUGGUGGCGAGUGGCGAACGGGUGAGUAAUACAUCGGAACGUACCCUGAAGUGGGGGAUAACGUAGCGAAAGUUACGCUAAUACCGCAUAUUCUGUGAGCAGGAAAGAGGGGGAUCGCAAGACCUCUUGCUUUAGGAGCGGCCGAUGUCGGAUUAGCUAGUUGGUGAGGUAAAGGCUCACCAAGGCGACGAUCCGUAGCGGGUCUGAGAGGAUGAUCCGCCACACUGGGACCUGAGACGACCGGCCAGACCUCCGUACGGGAGG